CCCGCUGAACUUAAGCAUAUCAAUAAGCGGAGGAAAAGAAACCAACAGGGAUUGCCCCAGUAACGGCGAGUGAAGUGGCAAUAGCUCAGAUUUGAAAUCUGGUUGUAAUGACCCGAGUUGUAAUCUGGAGAGGAUGCUUUUGGCAACGAUGAAUCUGAGAUCCUUGGAACAGGACGCCACAGAGGGUGAGAGCCCCGUAAAGAUUUAAUCCUAGCCUCUAUAAAGCUCCUUCAACGAGUCGCGUAGUCCGGGACUGCUGCGCAAAUCAGGAGGUAAACUCCUCCUAAAGCUAAAUACUGGCCAGAGACCGAUAGCGCACAAGUAGAGUGAUCGAAAGAUGAAAAGCACUUUGAAAAGAGAGUCAAACAGUACGUGAAAUUGUUGAAAGAGAAGCACUUAUGACCAGACUUGGACCUUAGUGAAUCUCCAGGCUUCCCGCCUGGAUACUUUACUGGUUCAGGCCAGCAUUAGUUUCUGGCAGGGGAUAAAAAUAGUGGGAAUGUGGCUCUUCGGAGUGUUAUAGCCCGCUAUACAAUACCCUGCCGCAGACUAAGGACUGCGCAUCUGCAAUGAUGCUGGCGUAAUGGUCAUUAGUGGCCCGUCUUGAAACACGG
RNAcentral lists this ribosomal RNA (614 nucleotides) under uncultured fungus. Its description in RNAcentral is "eukaryotic LSU rRNA". It matches the Rfam family "Eukaryotic large subunit ribosomal RNA", at positions 24 to 664 of the family's 3401-position model. Lineage: Eukaryota; Fungi. The record is from RNAcentral.